AAGGAUUUAAGUUAAUCAAACUAGUAACCUUCAAAGUUACCAAUAAGGACUUCUCACUCUUAAGCCUUA
RNAcentral lists this transfer RNA (69 nucleotides) under Pheletes quercus. Its description in RNAcentral is "tRNA-Trp". The record is from RNAcentral. Lineage: Eukaryota; Metazoa; Arthropoda; Insecta; Coleoptera; Elateridae.